AGCGAACGCUGGCGGCAGGCUUAACACAUGCAAGUCGAGCGGGCACUUCGGUGUCAGCGGCAGACGGGUGAGUAACACGUGGGAACGUACCCUUCGGUUCGGAAUAACGCUGGGAAACUAGCGCUAAUACCGGAUACGCCCUUUUGGGGAAAGGUUUACUGCCGCAGGAUCGGCCCGCGUCUGAUUAGCUAGUUGGUGGGGUAAUGGCCUACCAAGGCGACGAUCAGUAGCUGGUCUGAGAGGAUGAUCUGCCACACUGGGACUGAGACACGGCCCAGACUCCUACGGGAGGCAGCAGUGGGGAAUAUUGGACAAUGGGCGCAAGCCUGAUCCAGCCAUGCCGCGUGAGUGAUGAAGGCCUUAGGGUUGUAAAGCUCUUUUGUCCGGGACGAUAAUGACGGUACCGGAAGAAUAAGCCCCGGCUAACUUCGUG
This 433-nucleotide ribosomal RNA is filed under the name uncultured bacterium. Its description in RNAcentral is "partial 16S ribosomal RNA". It matches the Rfam family "Bacterial small subunit ribosomal RNA", at positions 29 to 507 of the family's 1533-position model. The record is from RNAcentral.